AUGACUCUCAUCAGUUGGAACUGUCGGGGGAUUGGGCAACCCCAAACAGUUCAAGAGCUAGUGGGCCUAGUGCACACACAUAAGUCUAAGCUAGUUUUUUUAUCUAAAACUCGGAAAAGUGAUGUGUAUGUGAAUAAUCUGAGGCGGAGGGUAGGCCUCCAGCAUUGCAUUGUGCAAUCCGGCACUGGAAAGAGUGCAGGUAUUGCACUAUUCUAA
RNAcentral lists this ribosomal RNA (216 nucleotides) under Triticum aestivum (bread wheat). RNAcentral describes it as "partial small subunit ribosomal RNA". The record is from RNAcentral. Lineage: Eukaryota; Viridiplantae; Streptophyta; Magnoliopsida; Poales; Poaceae.